AUUUGAGUAAUUUAAAUUAAAAUAUAACACUGAAGAUGUUAAGAUGAUAAUAUUUAUCCUUAAAUA
RNAcentral lists this transfer RNA (66 nucleotides) under Sclerophasma paresisense. RNAcentral describes it as "tRNA-Phe". Lineage: Eukaryota; Metazoa; Arthropoda; Insecta; Mantophasmatodea; Mantophasmatidae. The record is from RNAcentral.